CGUGUUGUGGAGAACGACAA
This 20-nucleotide microRNA is filed under the name Ciona intestinalis (vase tunicate). RNAcentral's name for it is "cin-miR-4092-5p". Lineage: Eukaryota; Metazoa; Chordata; Ascidiacea; Phlebobranchia; Cionidae. The record is from miRBase by way of RNAcentral.